RNAcentral lists this ribosomal RNA (496 nucleotides) under uncultured bacterium. RNAcentral describes it as "partial 16S ribosomal RNA". It matches the Rfam family "Bacterial small subunit ribosomal RNA", at positions 29 to 507 of the family's 1533-position model. The record is from RNAcentral.
AUGCACGCUGGCGGCGUGCCUCAUCCAUGCCAGUCGCGCGAACAGACGAGGAGCUUGCUCCUCUGACGUUAGCGGCGGACGGGUGAGUAACACGUGGAUAACCUACCUAUAAGACUGGGAUAACUUCGGGAAACCGGAGCUAAUACCGGAUAAUAUAUUGAACCGCAUGGUUCAAUAGUGAAAGACGGUUUUGCUGUCACUUAUAGAUGGAUCCGCGCCGCAUUAGCUAGUUGGUAAGGUAACGGCUUACCAAGGCAACGAUGCGUAGCCGACCUGAGAGGGUGAUCGGCCACACUGGAACUGAGACACGGUCCAGACUCCUACGGGAGGCAGCAGUAGGGAAUCUUCCGCAAUGGGCGAAAGCCUGACGGAGCAACGCCGCGUGAGUGAUGAAGGUCUUCGGAUCGUAAAACUCUGUUAUUAGGGAAGAACAAAUGUGUAAGUAACUAUGCACGUCUUGACGGUACCUAAUCAGAAAGCCACGGCUAACUACGUG